GGAGCUGCAGCUUAAGGGUGCUGGAAAGACCCCAUAUAGUCGUUUUGCUGAUGGUCUUGCAGUGCUUCGUAGUAGCAUCCGAGAAUUCCUUUGUAGUGAAGCAAUGCACGGUCUUGGAAUCCCAACAACACGAGCACUUUGUCUAGUGACGACGGGAAAAGAUGUUAUGAGGGAUAUGUUUUAUGAUGGAAAUCCCAAAGAUGAACCUGGUGCAAUUGUCUGCAGAGUUGCUCAAUCGUUUCUGCGUUUUGGUUCUUAUCAACUGCAUGCCUCUAGAGGAAAAAAGGAUUUUGAGCUUGUCCGUGCUUUGGCAGACUAUGCCAUUAGAUAUCACUUCCCCCAUUUGGAGAAUAUGACUAGGAGUGAAAGCAUAUCAGCUAACACAGACGUGGAUUUAACUUCAAACAAGUAUGCAGCUUGGGCAGUGGAAGUUGCUGAGAGGACUGCGUCCAUGAUUGCCAGGUGGCAGGAUGUUGGUUUCACACAUGGAGUCAUGAACACUGAUAAUAUGAGCGUGUUAGGACUCACUAUUGACUAUGGUCCCUUUGGCUUUUUAGAUUCUUUUGAUCCCAGUUACACACCAAAUACCACUGAUCUUCCUGGCAGAAGAUAUUGUUUUGCAAAUCAGCCAGAUGUAGGUUUAUGGAAUAUUGCGCAGUUUACCUCUGCUCUAUCUACUGCCGAGUUGCUUAGUGAUAAAGAGGCAGAUUAUGCUAUGGAAAGAUAUGGUAACAAAUUCAUGGAUGAUUAUCAAGAUAUCAUGACCAGGAAACUUGGUCUGACAAAGUACAAUAAAAAGU
This 800-nucleotide unclassified non-coding RNA is filed under the name Hevea brasiliensis (rubber tree). The record is from RNAcentral. Lineage: Eukaryota; Viridiplantae; Streptophyta; Magnoliopsida; Malpighiales; Euphorbiaceae.